This 520-nucleotide ribosomal RNA is filed under the name Achelous rufiremus. RNAcentral's name for it is "partial 16S ribosomal RNA". It matches the Rfam family "Archaeal large subunit ribosomal RNA", at positions 1916 to 2666 of the family's 2987-position model. The record is from RNAcentral. Lineage: Eukaryota; Metazoa; Arthropoda; Malacostraca; Decapoda; Portunidae.
GUCUUACUAGUAGUUAUUUGUAGUUUAACCUGCUCAGUGAUUAUUAAUAUUAAAUAGCCGCAGUAUUUUGACUGUGCAAAGGUAGCAUAAUCAUUAGUUUUUUAAUUAGAAGCUUGUAUGAAUGGUUGGACAAAGAAAUAUCUGUCUCUUUUAUUUAAAUUGAAUUUAACUUUUAAGUGAAAAGGCUUAAAUUUUCCAAGGGGACGAUAAGACCCUAUAAAGCUUUAUAAGUUUAUGGAUUUUAUAUAUUUAAUAUAAAAAUAAUUUUUUAAAUAUUUAUUUGGUUGGGGCGACAAAAGUAUAAUUGGAAAUAACUGCUAACUUUAAGUACCACUACAUCUUGUAUAAAAAAUAAUCGGAUUCUUUAUAAAGAGUAAAAGUUCAAGUUACUUUAGGGAUAAAAGCAUCAUUUUUUCUGAGAGUACUUGUCGGAGAAAAACUUUGCUACCUCAAUGUUGAAUUAAAAUGUUUUUAUAAUGCAGCAGUUAUAUAAGAAGGUCUGUUCGACCUUUGAUAUUUU